This 5447-nucleotide long non-coding RNA is filed under the name Ananas comosus (pineapple). RNAcentral describes it as "long non-coding RNA (ACOM_LNC021611)". The record is from RNAcentral. Lineage: Eukaryota; Viridiplantae; Streptophyta; Magnoliopsida; Poales; Bromeliaceae.
CCCUUUGGUCUUGGGAUUAUCUAACAUUAUUGGGCGAAAAGGAGUUGGAGAAAAAAUAUAUAGAGAUAUGCUUGUGUUUUUCGGUGGAACUCCAGAAAGUAUAUCGUAAUCGAAUCGGUACGAUUUGUGUAAUGUAAUAUUUUUUUUACAAAAAUAAUUAAUUUUUUUUUGUUAUUAUACUUUUUUUACUAUAGAUAACGUAUCUGUCUGUAAUUCCAAACGAAGUUUUAGAAGGUGAAGGUCAUUGAUCCAAAAAGCCUAAGCUCAUGUAACUAUCUCAAAAUUCUCUCCCUCCCUCUCUCUCUCUCUCUCUCUCUCUCACACACACACACACACACACAACUGCUACUUUACACAUUAUGUUGCUAAUGACUAGUGAGACAUGAAAGUUUGAGGGUGAAUCCUUUGAAAAGUAAAUAAAGUGAAGCACACAACUCAUGCAUUAUCAAUCCAUAUUAUCUCUACAUGCAUCCUCAAAAUUCUCUCUCUCUCUCUCUUACACACACACACACACAUCACACACACACACAAAUGCUACUUUACACAUAAUGUUGUUAAUGACUAAUGAGACAUGAAUGUUUUAGGAUGAAUCCUUUGAAAAGCAAAAGAAGUGAAGCACACAACUCAUGCAUUAUCAAUCCAAAAUUCCCUCCCCUCUUUUCCAGGUGGGGGAGGCACAUGCAUGUGUAAAGGACUACACUUUUUCUCUUCAACCCCACCCCCCACCACCACCCCCCACCACUUGGUUUCUCUCAAAUCAAAACAUCUCCAUUUUGGUGCACCUCUCAUCUUGUUGAAGAAGCCANCCUCUAGAAUAUCCCUGAAUACAUACAAAUAUAAAUUUACAAUUGUUCUAUCUUGUACCAGAAUAUCCCCUGUUCUCGGUAACAAUAAAAGUUGUUAUUUAAAAUUUAGUUUUCCAACCAAACACAGCCGUAAGUUAUCGCUAAAAGUAUGCUUUGGUGUUAUAAGUCCAGUUGUCUUUCAUGCUCUUGUGGGAAAUUUUAUGGAUAUCAAACAGCUUAUGUUUUCUAGGCUAAAUUAUAAAAAGCCCCUUAAAUUAAACCACUUAUCUUAAUUAUCCUCAUGCAUAAAAAGGUACAUCCAUUAUCUCUCUACAUUUUGACAUUUUUUUUUGAGAAUAGGUAGCACGCUACCUACUUCAUUCAUUGAAGAUAUGAAUUAGGCUACAGGGGUGAGACAGCCAGGACCUCGAGGAAAAACGAACCGCAUAAAAAAAAUAAAUAAAAAAAUCAAAGGAGGUCUUUCCAAAAAUCAAUCAGCUGCUUGAGCCUUCCCACCACUAAAACAGGAUCAUCUUUAUACCACGAAAGAUAAGGUUGUUCCUGGCCUUCUAUAAUCUUAAAUAAAUCCGCCUAUUCGGAAUAAUUGUUGAAUUCAACUAUAAAACUUUAUAAAAGCACAUUUGCAGAUAAAAUUAUGUGCAAGUAAUGCAAAAGAAUCAUAAAAAUUGAAUAAAUUGCUAGAUAAACUAUCAUUUUUGAUAGUAUUAGAAAAAUAGAGGAUCUCAUUUAUCUAAAUUUUUAUAUUUUUUUUUGAGUUGCAAGUUGGGUAUUUACUGAGAUGUGAAACAAUAUGAUAUGCUAACUCGUUUUAGUUAAGUUUUACAGCUUAAUUUGUUAGUUCUUUAAUUUUUUGGAUCUAUUUGAGAUGAAGACGAAACAUAGGAUGGUAAUUAGUACAAUUUUUAAUACAAGAGGAUAAUUGAGGCUGAGGUUAUAACGCACAAAUUUUUUUUUGUAAAAUUUAGUUUUUUUUACCACAUCUUUUAGUGCAGCAUAAAAUGCUAUUCUGAAAAUCAGACCAAAUAUACACAAAGUAACAGUUCACAUUUUCUAGAAGAAUUUAAAUGUAAAUGCUCUUUUAUGUUUUUAUUAGAUACAACAUAAUAUGCCCAAUUUUGCAUUUUUUAUGUCAUCCAAAGGCAAAGCAAGGAGCAUCAUUCAACACAGCCAAGAUAUGUUUGAUAGUGGAGCUGAAAAACCCAAAAAAGGAAAAAAAGAAAAAGAAAAGAAGAGAGAGGAUGAAAAAACAAAAAAUAAAAAGAAAUAAAGAAAAGGACAUGCAUGACUUGAUUCCUUGGGAGGUGGAAACUGUGGCCACCAAUCUCAUGCUGCCCCCUCUUUUGUCCUCACAUUGCUGAAAUUUUAUGCAGCCCCAUCACUUCCCAAGAGAGCAGUCUUCACCAAACACCCCUCCCCCACCUCCCCUCCCUCCCUCCCUGCUUUUCUUUCUUUGGGCUUCUCUACCUUUCUCCUACUGCUUUUUUGGCUUUACCACUACUUUUUAUUUACUCAGCUUCAACUUUUCCCUUCUCCUCUUAACUCUAACUCUCUCUCUUUCUACAUUACUCUCUCCUCCACCUCUCUUUUGCCCCUUCUCCCUCUCUCUCUCUCUCUCUCCAUUCUUUGCAGUAAUGCUCCCUCCUCCACCUCCAUCUCUUGAAGAGGAGAUUACUUAGAAAGAAAUAACUUCAAUGGCUACAAGGGUUAUUAGGGCUCAUCAUGGCCUCCUCCUCCUCUUCUCUCUCCUCCUAUCCCUUCAGUCUGCUUGCUCUUCAGGUCAGUACAUCACUCAUUCUCCUCUCCCUUCCUUUCCCUUUCUUUCUGUUGCAUUUUUUUUUUCUCUUAUUGAGCUACAAACAACAACAACAACAAAAGACAAGAAGAGACAAAGAAAGAGAGUUUCUCAUUUACUCCUCUUUGAUAGCUACUUUAAGAUUGGCAUAAACCACUUUCCCCUUCUGAUAUACCACAACUGUUUCAAAAUCUCAGUUUCAUUUUUCAUUUUCUUCUUUCUUUGGUGUUUCCAGGAGCCUUUGUGGGAUUUUCAUAUGAUGCAAGGGAAGAGAGGCCUCAAUCUUCUUCACCUUCACCCACAGAAGCACNCUCUUCAACCCCACCCCCCACCACCACCCCCCACCACUUGGUUUCUCUCAAAUCAAAACAUCUCCAUUUUGGUGCACCUCUCAUCUUGUUGAAGAAGCCACAAAUGUGUAAUCCUCUUUUUUUUUUUUAAUAUGUUUUUUACAUAUUUUUUAUUGGACAUUUCAUGUUGUUUGUGAAAUCCUACAACUAAAGAAAAAAGAUCAUUAAUUUAAACACUAUUCUUUCCAUAACAAAAUAUUUCAUGUGCUAAAUUUUACUUGUAUUGCGAAUCGCAUAAAAAUCCGAUCUACGUUCCUAUCGAUAGAAAAUGUGGGAGAUUUUUGCAAGCUAAAUCAUGAUUUCGAGAAUUUUUGCAGAAAUACUGUUUGAGCAUAACUCGUCUAGAAGUCUUUACUAAUUUUCAUUUAUUUUUGUUAGCUUCGGGAGCUAGAAGUGUAAGUUAUCGCUAAAAGUAUGGAUAUAAAACGAAUUGGGCUGAAAUACCAUUAAUAGUAUUCGGCUUUUUUUGCUAUUAAGUUUUUAACCAUUGGAUGAAAAAUUAUAGGGUUUAGUAGUGGUCCCCCCUAGGGUUGAGUGAGUGGUUAGUUGAAUAGUAUGAUCUAAAAGAUAAGACUAAUUAAAGUGUAGAUCUAACGAUUAAAAAAUCGAUAGCAAAAGAGCCCAAAUACUAUUAAUAAUAUUCUAGUUCAACUUGAUAUCAAGCAGCCUAUUCUUUUUAGGGGCUAAAUUAUAAAAAGCCCUCUCGAAAUCUACCACUUAUCUUAAAAUUCCUCAUGCAUAAAAAAUUACAUCAAUUAUCUCUAUACAUUUUGUCGUUAUCUUAAAUAAAUCCACCUAUUUGGAAUAAUUGUUGAAUUUAACUAUAAAACUUUAUAAAAGUACAUUUGCAGAUAAAAUUAUGUGUAAGUAAUGCAAAAGAAUCAUAAAAGUUGAAUAAAUUGCUAGAUAAACUAUCAUUUUUUAUAGUAUUAGAAAAAUAGAGGAUCUCAUUUAUCUAAAUUUUUUUUUUUUUUUUUUGAGUUGCAAGUUGGAUAUUUACUGAGAUGUGAAACAAUAUGAUAUGCUAACUCGUUUUAGUUAAGUUUUACAGCUUAAUUUGUUAGUUCUUUAAUUUUUUGGAUCUAUUUGAGAUGAAGACGAAAUAUAGGAUGGUAAUUAGUACAAUUUUUAAUACAAGAGGAUAAUUGAGGCUGAGGUUAUAACGCACAAAAUUUUUUUUGUAAAAUUUAGUUUUUUUUACCACAUCUUUUAGUGCAGCAUAAAAUGCUAUUCUGAAAAUCAGACCAAAUAUACACAAAGUAACAGUUCACAUACACAAAGUAACAGUUCACAUUUUCUAGAAGAAUUUAAAUGUAAAUGCUCUUUUAUGUUUUUAUUAGAUACAACAUAAUAUGCCCAAUUUUGCAUUUUUUAUGUCAUCCAAAGGCAAAGCAAGGAGCAUCAUUCAACACAGCCAAGAUAUAUUUGAUAGUGGAGCUGAAAAACCCAAAAAAGGAAAAAAAGAAAAAGAAAAGAAAAGAGAGGAUGAAAAAACAAAAAAUAAAAAGAAAAAAAGAAAAGGACAUGCAUGACUUGAUUCCUUGGGAGGUGGAAACUGUGGCCACCAAUCUCAUGCUGCCCCCUCUUUUGUCCUCACAUUGCUGAAAUUUUAUGCAACCCCAUCACUUCCCAAGAGCAGUCUUCAGUCUUCACCAAACACCCCUCCCCCACCUCCCCUCCCUCCCUCCCUGCUUUUCUUUCUUUGGGCUUCUUCUCUACCUUUCCCCUACUGCUUUUUUGGCUUUACCACUACUUUUUAUUUACUCAGCUUCAACUUUUUCCUUCUCCUCUUAACUCUAACUCUCUCUCUUUCUACAUUACUCUCUCCUCCUCCUCUCUUUUGCCCCUUCUGUCUCUCUCUCUCUCUCUCUCUCUCUCUCUCUCUCUCUCCAGUAAUGCUCCCUCCUCCACCUCCAUCUCUUGAGGAGGAGAUUACUUAGAAAGAAAUAACUUCAAUGGCUACAAGGGUUAUUAGGGCUGAUCAUGGCCUGCUCCUCCUCUUCUCUCUCCUCCUAUCCCUUCAGUCUGCUUGCUCUUCAGGUCAGUACAUCACUCAUUCUCCUCUCCCUUCCUUUCCCUUUCUUUCUGUUGCAUUUUUUUUUUCUCUUAUUGAGCUACAAACAACAACAACAACAACAAAAGACAAGAAGAGACAAAGAAAGAGAGUUUCUCAUUUACUCCUCUUUGAUAGCUACUUUAAGAUUGGCAUAAACCACUUUCCCCUUCUGAUAUACCACAACUGUUUCAGAAUCUCAGUUUCAUUUUUCAUUUUCUUCUUUCUUUGGUGUUUCCAGGAGCCUUUGUGGGAUUUUCAUAUGAUGCAAGGGAAGAGAGCCCUCAAUCUUCUUCACCUUCACCCACAGAAGCACUAUCUUUCCUCCACAAGAACAGACUCUCCCCUGCUCAGUACAGAAUCUUCCUCACAAACCCACAACCCUUCUUACAUCCACUGUCCAAAUCUGCUGUCCCUGUUGAUCUGUUUCUGAAACAGUUUGACAC